GGGCCCGCACAAGCGGUGGAGCAUGUGGUUUAAUUCGAUGAUACGCGAGGAACCUUACCAGGGCUUAAAUGUAGUAUGACCGGCUUGGAAACAGGCCUUCUCUUCGGAGCAGAUUACAAGGUGCUGCAUGGUUGUCGUCAGCUCGUGCCGUGAGGUGUUAGGUUAAGUCCUGCAACGAGCGCAACCCCUAUUCUUAGUUGCCAGCGGUUCGGCCGGGGACUCUAAGAAGACUGCCAGCGCAAGCUGAGAGGAAGUGGGGAUGACGUCAAAUCAUCACGGCCCUUACGUCCUGGGGCUACACACGUGCUACAAUGGUAGAGACAGAGGGCAGCCACCUGGUGACAGGGAGCGAAUCCUUAAACUCUAUCUC
RNAcentral lists this ribosomal RNA (370 nucleotides) under uncultured bacterium. RNAcentral's name for it is "bacterial SSU rRNA". It matches the Rfam family "Bacterial small subunit ribosomal RNA", at positions 917 to 1289 of the family's 1533-position model. The record is from RNAcentral.